GUGCCUGUAGCGAAAUGGAUGGCGCGCGCGUUGAACUUCUAAUCCAAAGGUCGUGGGUUUGAAUCCCACCUGGGAUG
This is a non-coding RNA of Trichonephila clavipes, 77 nucleotides long. The record is from the annotation of a GenBank genome assembly. NCBI's taxonomy places the organism in Eukaryota, Metazoa, Arthropoda, Arachnida, Araneae, Nephilidae.